Molecule: long non-coding RNA, 301 nt
Organism: Drosophila biarmipes
Lineage: Eukaryota; Metazoa; Arthropoda; Insecta; Diptera; Drosophilidae
Exons: 2
Source: RefSeq, a predicted model, not a curated record
AUUGUACACGAGACCUCGUCGUGCUUAGUCAGCCAUUAUCGUUGGGGUUUUCCUAGCAGACUACAUUUUCACCACUCGUCAUGAUCGCGCCAGUCCGCUGAGUACUUGUUAUUCUAACAUUUUUAUAUAUACAUAUGUUAGCCUGGGCAUUGAUGAACCCCCAGCUCGGGCGUAAAUUGGGAUGAUGAUUAGCAUUCCCCAACAGAGAUGAAAGCUUAUGAGCAGCUCGAUUGAUAAGCCCCAAGAUCUGUUCAUUACAACAGGCGGAAAAAAUCAAGGAAAAUAAAAACCCUCUAAAUCA